RNAcentral lists this long non-coding RNA (283 nucleotides) under Cyanistes caeruleus (blue tit). RNAcentral's name for it is "lncRNA (ENSCCEG00000001668.1)". Lineage: Eukaryota; Metazoa; Chordata; Aves; Passeriformes; Paridae. The record is from RNAcentral.
UUUCCCCAAGAGAAAUUCAGUGGAAGCAACUAAACUGGUUUCCUGUAGCUCUGGGUCUGUAUGCCAGAUCUAAGCAAAUGCAAUGUGAAUAAAGCCAUUUUCCAGGGUAGAUCUUACUUACCACUUCUUAAUGCGACCCAGCGGAAGUUGUAUCACAGCUCACCUGUGGCAGUGGAGGGAGCAGGGGCUUAGUGGGGCCCUCUCAUCAACUGGUGAGGAGGGGAUCUGCUUUGGAAUCAGCACGGCUGUAUUGACAAAGGCUACGGGAACAUUGGCCUACGUG